CCAAUAGCGUAUAUUAAAGUUGUUGCAGUUAAAAAGCUCGUAGUUGAAUUUCGGGAUCAAUAUGUUGGUCGUGCCUUGGUACGUACUAUCUUAUCGAUUUCUCCCUUCUGACGAACCAUGAUGUCAUUAAUUUGAUGUCAUGGGGAAUCAGGACUGUUACUUUGAAAAAAUUAGAGUGUUUAAAGCAGGCUCACGCUUGAAUAUAUUAGCAUGGAAUAAUGAAAUAGGACGUUUGAUUCUAUUUUGUUGGUUUCUAGGAUCGACGUAAUGAUUAAUAGGGAUAGUUGGGGGCAUUAGUAUUCAAUUGUCAGAGGUGAAAUUCUUGGAUUUAUUGAAGACUAACUACUGCGAAAGCAUUUGCCAAGGAUGUUUUCAUUAAUCAAGAACGAAAGUUAGGGGAUCGAAGACGAUCAGAUACCGUCGUAGUCUUAACCAUAAACUAUGCCGACUAGGGAUCGGAUGGUGUUAAUUUUUUAAUGACUCAUUCGGCGCCUUACG
RNAcentral lists this ribosomal RNA (498 nucleotides) under uncultured Glomeromycotina. RNAcentral describes it as "partial small subunit ribosomal RNA". It matches the Rfam family "Eukaryotic small subunit ribosomal RNA", at positions 591 to 1092 of the family's 1831-position model. The record is from RNAcentral. Lineage: Eukaryota; Fungi; Glomeromycota.